Molecule: ribosomal RNA, 446 nt
Filed under: uncultured bacterium
Lineage: Bacteria
Description: SSU rRNA
Rfam family: Bacterial small subunit ribosomal RNA
Source: RNAcentral
AGAACGAACGCUGGCGGCAGGCCUAAAACAUGCAAGUCGAACGCUCUAGCAAUAGAGAGUGGCGCACGGGUGCGUAACAUGUGGGAAUAUGCCUUUUGGUACGGAACAACUUUUGGAAACGAAAGCUAAUACCGUAUGGUCCCUUCGGGGUAAAGAUUUAUCGCCAAAAGAGUAGCCCGCACUGGAUUAGCUAGUUGGUAAGGUAAUGGCUUACCAAGGCGACGAUCCAUAGCUGGUCUGAGAGGACGAUCAGCCACACUGGGACUGAGACACGGCCCAGACUCCUACGGGAGGCAGCAGUUAGGAAUCUUGGACAAUGGACGCAAGUCUGAUCCAGCCAUGCCGCGUGAGUGAUGAAGGCCUUCGGGUUGUAAAGCUCUUUAGCCGACGAAUAUAAUGACUGUAGUCGGAGAAUAACGCCCGGCUAACUUCGCGCCAGCAGCCGC